AGAUUUCUUCCUGCACAUACAGACAUUAUCAGGCAUGAUUCAACUUUUCUGGGAAGAGUUGAGAUUGGAGUCAUAGCCAAAGAUUACAGUCCAUCAUCAAAGGAAGCUGAGACAGUAACUCAAGGAACUUGAAACAGAAUUCACAGAGGAACACAGCUUUCUGAUUCAUUGCUGGGAUCACAGUCAGCUAUUUUCCUUAUACCACUCAGGGUCAAUCCCUCCGGAAUCAAUCACCAGUUAGGAAUAUGCUACACAGAUGUGCCCACAGGUACAUGUGCCCUCCUGAUGGAGGAAAACAUGCUUCUCUACCCAGGUGUACCAAGAUAGCCAAGUCUAGUCAUCAUAAUGCUAUUGAAGAGGGUGUGUUUACAGUGUGAGUCAACAGUUCUACAACAAAAAAGACUGAAGGCUAUAGUCCUUACCUGAAGGCUAUCAGGCCCCAAACUGAAGAUCAGCUGUUUCUGCUUGAGUGUGGAGAUCAAUUUUUUU
This is a long non-coding RNA of Arvicola amphibius (Eurasian water vole), 489 nucleotides long. RefSeq lists it as uncharacterized. Lineage: Eukaryota; Metazoa; Chordata; Mammalia; Rodentia; Cricetidae. The transcript has 2 exons. The record is from RefSeq and is a predicted model, not a curated record.